UUUACUCGGGGAUAGCCUUUCGAAAGAAAGAUUAAUACCCGAUAGCAUAAUGAUUCCGCAUGGUUUCAUUAUUAAAGGAUUCCGGUAAAGGAUGGGGAUGCGUUCCAUUAGGUUGUUGGUGAGGUAACGGCUCACCAAGCCUUCGAUGGAUAGGGGUUCUGAGAGGAAGGUCCCCCACAUUGGAACUGAGACACGGUCCAAACUCCUACGGGAGGCAGCAUG
RNAcentral lists this ribosomal RNA (222 nucleotides) under uncultured bacterium. Its description in RNAcentral is "partial 16S ribosomal RNA". It matches the Rfam family "Bacterial small subunit ribosomal RNA", at positions 132 to 353 of the family's 1533-position model. The record is from RNAcentral.